Molecule: small nuclear RNA, 107 nt
Filed under: Octodon degus (degu)
Lineage: Eukaryota; Metazoa; Chordata; Mammalia; Rodentia; Octodontidae
Source: RNAcentral
GUGCUCGCUUCAGCAGCACAUGUGCUAAAACUGGAAAGAUACAGAGAAGAUUAGCACGGCCCCUGCACAAGGAUGACAUGCAAAUUCGUGAAGCAUUCCAUAUUUUU